UCCCAAUCCUGAAAACACUGACAAAUGCCAUUGAAGUCAAUGGACACUAUGGGCCUGAUCCAAAUCCAAUGGCAAGACUACCUUCCAAGUUUAUGAAUGUACACACUGCAGAGAAGCAUUGCUGCAACCUACUGCAAUGCAGAAGCUACAGUAAACACAGAAGUAAAGGGCCCUGGUGGAAAAGAAGCACAAGUUCAAGGACACUUUCAGGAAAAAUGUUUGGUUUGGGCAGAAGAUUCCAGACAGGACACUCAGCUUGAGUAACUCUUCUGUGAAGUUCUUCUGAAGUCACCUGCCAAGGACUGUAUUGCUUUUUAAUAAGAAGGAAGAAGGAACCUAUGAUGUAGCUAUGCAGUCCAA
Malaclemys terrapin pileata is the source of this 360-nucleotide long non-coding RNA. RefSeq lists it as uncharacterized. Lineage: Eukaryota; Metazoa; Chordata; Testudines; Emydidae. The record is from RefSeq and is a predicted model, not a curated record. The transcript is spliced from 3 exons.